RNAcentral lists this transfer RNA (68 nucleotides) under Marmota monax (woodchuck). RNAcentral describes it as "tRNA.Val". It matches the Rfam family "tRNA", at positions 5 to 66 of the family's 71-position model. From Rfam's summary of the family: Transfer RNA (tRNA) molecules are approximately 80 nucleotides in length. Their secondary structure includes four short double-helical elements and three loops (D, anti-codon, and T loops). Further hydrogen bonds mediate the characteristic L-shaped molecular structure. tRNAs have two regions of fundamental functional importance: the anti-codon, which is responsible for specific mRNA codon recognition, and the 3' end, to which the tRNAs corresponding amino acid is attached (by aminoacyl-tRNA synthetases). tRNAs cope with the degeneracy of the genetic code in two manners: having more than one tRNA (with a specific anti-codon) for a particular amino acid; and 'wobble' base-pairing, i.e. permitting non-standard base-pairing at the 3rd anti-codon position. Lineage: Eukaryota; Metazoa; Chordata; Mammalia; Rodentia; Sciuridae. The record is from RNAcentral.
GUUGUAGCUCAGUGGUAGAGUGCUUGCCUCACAUGCAUGAGGCACUGGUUUUAAACCUCAGCAAAACA